This 643-nucleotide long non-coding RNA is filed under the name Fukomys damarensis (Damara mole-rat). Its description in RNAcentral is "lncRNA (ENSFDAG00000027792.1)". Lineage: Eukaryota; Metazoa; Chordata; Mammalia; Rodentia; Bathyergidae. The record is from RNAcentral.
GUUUCCACCAUAAUUUGGCUUUUCUUUUUUUGACAUAGAUCUAUUAGACUGUAUAGUACAGGUUUCAUCACAGAAGUAAAUAACAGCAUGUUUCCUUGGGAGCAAUUGAACAACAGAAUAAAACAGUCCUUACUGUUUUUUGAAAGUUGUGUCAGAUUGUCAUGGUAAUACAGAGUUGUCUCCUGUUGUCAUAGCAACCAGAAUUAUAAAAUGAAUUUAAAGAGGAUGAAGAGAUACUGUCUGGUGGUGUGAUUCUUUUAACUUGAGCGAUUCCUUCCUUCUCUACUUCUUUGUGUUUCAUUUUAUUCUGAUGAAAUGAGGAUGAGAAAGAUGGCUCGAGAGGGAAUUAUGGGAACUCAUAUUUCGACCCAAAGAGGAGUUGCAUCUUAAUGGCCCCACUCAUCACAGUCUGUCUGAGCCAGGUGGAAUGCAGGGUCUGGAACCAGGAUCAGAUACAUGGCUGUCAAGCCAUCCCAAGUUCAGCAGGAGGAAGUUCUGCUCCCAGGGGGUUGAAAAGUUCUUACAUUUGACAUGGAUAGAAGAUUCUACCUGGACUGCUUUUUCUACUUCACCAUUCUUCUGUCUCCUGACAUGUGAAGGCUUCCUUGAAUCUCCUAGGCAAUGCUAUUCAUCACCAUGCUAA